UCCUAGGCUGUGACUCCAUUACCGGGGUGAGGCGGUGGACACCGGAGCUGCUGAGGCUGACUGAGCAAGGAAUGCUGGGAGAUUUCACUUCUGACACCUACAGAAUUGUGAAUGCAGCUUUGGACGAAACACGCUAAAACUAAGGAUCAGGACUAGGAGAACCAAGG
Molecule: long non-coding RNA, 167 nt
Organism: Bufo bufo (common toad)
Lineage: Eukaryota; Metazoa; Chordata; Amphibia; Anura; Bufonidae
Exons: 3
Source: RefSeq, a predicted model, not a curated record